UACGUAGGGGGCUAGCGUUGUCCGGAAUCAUUGGGCGUAAAGCGCGCGUAGGCGGCCAGAUAAGUCCGGUGUGAAAGUCAAGGGCUCAACCCUUGAAUGCCGCUGGAAACUGUCUGGCUAGAGUCCGGAAGGGGCGAGUGGAAUUCCUGGUGUAGCGGUGAAAUGCGCAGAUAUCAGGAGGAACACCAAUGGCGAAGGCAGCUCGCUGGAACGGUACUGACGCUGGAGGCGACGAAAGGCGUGGGGAGCGAACAGG
This 256-nucleotide ribosomal RNA is filed under the name uncultured bacterium. Its description in RNAcentral is "partial 16S ribosomal RNA". It matches the Rfam family "Bacterial small subunit ribosomal RNA", at positions 524 to 776 of the family's 1533-position model. The record is from RNAcentral.